Molecule: long non-coding RNA, 1227 nt
Filed under: Octopus vulgaris (common octopus)
Lineage: Eukaryota; Metazoa; Mollusca; Cephalopoda; Octopoda; Octopodidae
Source: RNAcentral
GCAUUCCUCAACUACCAGAAACACACAUACAUAACACUAUCCUUUGUUAAACAUUUCCGUAAGUAUUAAUGAAAUUAUUCAAUGUUUUUAAGUCUGUAGACGUUUGGUUUUUCGCCUGUCGAUUAUUUGUUUCGCUUCCAGGUUCGAGAUUUGGCUGCUAUUUCUAGCUUUGAAAGGGAGUUAUCACUGAUUUGUAAGAGAUUUGGCUGCUAUUUCUAGCUUUGAAAGAGAGUUAUCACUGAUUUUUUUGAGAUUUGGCUGCUAUUUCUAGCUAUGAAAGAGAGCUGUCACUGAUUUGUUCGAGAUUUGGCUGCUAUUUCUAGCUUUGAAAGAGAGUUAUCACUGAUUUUUUGGAGAUUUGGCUGCUAUUUCUAGCUAUGAAAGAGUCUUAUCACUGAUUUGUUCGAGAUUUGGCUGCUAUUUCUAGCUAUGAAAAAGAGUUGUCACUGAUUUGUUGGAGAUUUGGCUGCUAUUUCUAGCUAUGAAAGAGUCUUAUCACUGAUUUGUAAGAGAUUUGGCUGCUAUUUCUAGCUAUGAAAGAGAGCUGUCACUGAUUUGUUCGAGAUUUGGCUGCUAUUUCCAGCACGGACGAAACCUUCUACAGACUCCCUUGUUGCCAUGUUAGUUUGUAACAUUAACCUUUUGUUGUGUUAUAUUUUGAGAAAUAUUUUCUAAUAUGUUUUGUGUGUCGGUAGAAGGGUUUAUGUAUUACACUGUUGGUAUUUGUGUCUUUUUUAACUUUUUCUCUCUCCCCAUUGUCUUUAGUUAUCGUGUUGCAUAGUGUGCUGGGUGUUAUUGUUCCAUUCACGUUUUCUGUUGAAGUUCCGUCUGUCUCUUGCUAUAUCUGUGAGAUCUGUGAUCUGUCUCAUUGUCAUGCCUGUUCUAUGCAUUGAUAACACCUCAACAUCUAUCUUGUUAACCAAGCUCCUAUUUUCUUAUUGAGCAUAUUAAUGGAGUACUGAUAAGGUUUUCUCUCCUUUACUUCCUGCCAUUGUUCAUCUAUCUGCUCCCCUAUGUUAAAUACCAGCUGAAUCUGUCGCCUCUACAUCUUACACUGCUCUUUCUUUAUCAUUUCAGAACAUCAGAUGACACUGGCAUAACAGAAGAAACAUCCUCAAUACCUACCACGUUUUAAGGACUAAAGGAAAAUAUUAUACAAAAUAGAUGUAUCAGAUUGUUUCUACCAUUCUGAGAUAGAGGCCCUGUAAAACAUUUACUCUGAGCUGG